This 492-nucleotide ribosomal RNA is filed under the name uncultured bacterium. RNAcentral describes it as "partial 16S ribosomal RNA". It matches the Rfam family "Bacterial small subunit ribosomal RNA", at positions 29 to 507 of the family's 1533-position model. The record is from RNAcentral.
AGUGAACGCUGGCGGUAGGCCUAACACAUGCAAGUCGAACGGCAGCACAGUAAGAGCUUGCUCUUACGGGUGGCGAGUGGCGGACGGGUGAGGAAUACAUCGGAAUCUACUUUUUCGUGGGGGAUAACGUAGGGAAACUUACGCUAAUACCGCAUACGACCUACGGGUGAAAGCAGGGGAUCUUCGGACCUUGCGCGAUUGAAUGAGCCGAUGUCGGAUUAGCUAGUUGGCGGGGUAAAGGCCCACCAAGGCGACGAUCCGUAGCUGGUCUGAGAGGAUGAUCAGCCACACUGGAACUGAGGCACGGCCCAGACUCCUACGGGAGGAAGCAGUGGGGAAUAUUGGACAAUGGGGGAAAGCCUGAUCCAGCCAUACCGCGUGGGUGAAGAAGGCCUUCGGGUUGUAAAGCCCUUUUGUUGGGAAAGAAAAGCAGCAGGUUAAUACCCCGCUGUUCUGACGGUACCCAAAGAAUAAGCACCGGCUAACUUCGUG